AUUUUAUUCCCCCACUAAAAGACAGUUUUAAAGUGCCCUCCUUCACUGUCCAACUUUAUGCAUCAUCUAAUACUUCUUUUCUCAAUGUCAUGUGGACCUCCUGUGAUUUACCCCAUUUCCUUGCUUAAAAUACUGUGAUGUUGGCUCAUGGACUAUAGACUAAAGCCCACACAAUUUAAUAUGGGGAAGUUGGACCCAAAGACACAUACACACAGAGGGAAGACAAUGUGAAGACAAAGAGAAGACUGUCAUGAAGGCAAAAACUGUGGUGAUGAAUUUACAAGCCAAGGAGUGCCGAAGAUUGCCAGCAAACCACCAGCAUCUAGGAGAGAGGCACGAAAUAGAUUCUCCCUCACAGCGCUCAGAAGGAAGCAAGUCUCCUGACACCUUGAACUCGGCCUUCUAUCCUUCAGAACUGUGAGGCAAUAAAUGCCUGUUGUUUAAGAUACCUACUUGGGGGUCCUUAGUUAUGGCAGCCCUAGUAAACGCACAUACUCUGUUUUAAUUUUAUCUUUCUGUCUACUUUCUUGUUUACUUACAGUCA
RNAcentral lists this long non-coding RNA (544 nucleotides) under Homo sapiens (human). RNAcentral describes it as "HSALNT0354697". The record is from RNAcentral. Lineage: Eukaryota; Metazoa; Chordata; Mammalia; Primates; Hominidae.